Long non-coding RNA from Pomacea canaliculata, 824 nucleotides. RefSeq lists it as uncharacterized. The transcript has 4 exons. The record is from RefSeq and is a predicted model, not a curated record. NCBI's taxonomy places the organism in Eukaryota, Metazoa, Mollusca, Gastropoda, Architaenioglossa, Ampullariidae.
GGUCAACUGAGGAGAGUAAACUGCAAAAUUGGCUUCUUUCCGAACCGCAGGAGAGAACUGGUUGGUCUUCUUUCAGGGACGGAGAUGUCGCAUCCAUACUUGUGGUAGGAAAGAAUGUUUUGACCCGGGGUAGGGAGCAAAAGCCUGAAAUCGCAAUUUGUUUCGGAAGGUCUAACAACACUGAAUUUGAAUUGAUAAUUGAAAAGUUGAAUUGAGCAUAAGAAGUGGAACUGAACAUUGAAAUGUAACCUUGGAAAUCCUGGCAAAGUGCUUCCACCUUCAGGCGAUUUCGCACUGUUGGGUGAGAGGUAGGAGAGAGGAAACCGGAGUACCCGGAGAAAACCCUGACACCUGCCCUGCGAACAGGUGUGACAUACAGAGAGUGUCCCGAGACGAGAUUUGAACCCAGAACCUCCUCACUGCAGUGGUGACAAGCGAGUGUUCUAACCACUACAAUACCGGUCGUCCCUUGUGGUUUAGUUUGCAUUUGUGGCUCUAGACAACAACAAGAUUCACUGCAUGAACUGUGGGUAUUGUUUAGGAAUCGACGAAAACACUGAAAUAUCUUUGCCAACCUGUUACUUCCCUCUAAUCACCGAUUGGUGCAGAAUUUUGGAAACAGAAAAUCAUCAGAGAAUUGCCAGAUGAUCUGUUAAUCUAUCUUUAACAGAUGAAGAAACAAAGUACCACAGCCUUGUUUAUCCAUCCUCACCCUGUGCAGCCUCCACUGCUAUUCUGAACCGUUAAUUGCAUCCUCAUCACACAAUGACCCUCCCCUACACUCCUCCCCUUGCUAGCAUUGUAUACCAUUUGUUUGUGUUUGU